CAGAGGGCAGCCAAGUCGUGAGGCGGAGCUAAUCCCUUAAAGCCAUUCUCAGUUCGGAUUGUAGGCUGAAACUCGACUGCAUGAAGCUGGAAUCGCUAGUAAUCGCGGAUCAGAAUGCCGCGGUGAAUACGUUCCCGGGUCUUGUACACACCGCCCGUCAAGCCAUGGGAGCCGGGGGUACCUGAAGUGCGUAACCGCGAGGAGCGCCCUAGGGUAAAACUGGUGACUGGGGCUAAGUCGUAACAAGGUAUC
This 252-nucleotide ribosomal RNA is filed under the name uncultured bacterium. RNAcentral's name for it is "partial 16S ribosomal RNA". It matches the Rfam family "Bacterial small subunit ribosomal RNA", at positions 1240 to 1500 of the family's 1533-position model. The record is from RNAcentral.